GCCUGGGUAGCUCAGUGGGUUGAGCAUCUGACUUCUGCUCAGGUCAUGAUCUCGUGGUUCAUGAGUUCGAGCCCCACUUUGGGCU
This 85-nucleotide transfer RNA is filed under the name Felis catus (domestic cat). It matches the Rfam family "tRNA". Rfam says of the family: Transfer RNA (tRNA) molecules are approximately 80 nucleotides in length. Their secondary structure includes four short double-helical elements and three loops (D, anti-codon, and T loops). Further hydrogen bonds mediate the characteristic L-shaped molecular structure. tRNAs have two regions of fundamental functional importance: the anti-codon, which is responsible for specific mRNA codon recognition, and the 3' end, to which the tRNAs corresponding amino acid is attached (by aminoacyl-tRNA synthetases). tRNAs cope with the degeneracy of the genetic code in two manners: having more than one tRNA (with a specific anti-codon) for a particular amino acid; and 'wobble' base-pairing, i.e. permitting non-standard base-pairing at the 3rd anti-codon position. The record is from Rfam by way of RNAcentral. Lineage: Eukaryota; Metazoa; Chordata; Mammalia; Carnivora; Felidae.